RNAcentral lists this long non-coding RNA (644 nucleotides) under Equus caballus (horse). Its description in RNAcentral is "lncRNA (ENSECAG00000054216.1)". Lineage: Eukaryota; Metazoa; Chordata; Mammalia; Perissodactyla; Equidae. The record is from RNAcentral.
GUGAGGGAGAAAUGAGGCCAACCAGGCUCAUUCAGAGUGGCUUCGCAGAGCAGUUGUGAAUAUUUUUAUACGAGAUGCAUAAACAUUGAAGCACCUUGUAAAGUGAAAAAGAUUGGCCAACGAUAUGGAAUCAUUAUAGGGCAGCAGUUAAGAGCACAAGAACUGUAGCCAGCGUGUCUGGAAUGGAAUCCCAACUUUACCAGUUACUAGCUGUGCAGCCUUGGCCACCCAGGUGAAAGGCCACUCCCUGGCCCAGGAGCCCCCCACCCCCACCCCAAGGCUUCAAGCACCUGGCCUCCUCACUCAGGACCGCCUGCUGGUCAGGGAGCUCAGGAUCCUUCUCCUCCUACGGUUCCUUUGUUAACCCCUCAUGCUGCACUGCAGGGGGGCAGAGGUUACGAUUUGCCCAUUGCUGUCAGAACCGGACAAGUGACCCAGCAGAAAUAUGCAGGAGACACAGGCAGACAAGCCAGCAAGAAGCAGGGACCUUCGUGAGGCCGAGAAAAAAAGCACAGGCAGGGCCUAGUGAUGGAGGUGUCCAGGGGCUGCGGGCAACCCACUCACAUUCUGUUUAUGCCGGAGGAGGGCUUCCUGGAGGAAGUGGUGGACGCUGGGGCAACACGGUGAGCCCAGCCGAGCAAGGA